ACGGGCCGCAGCAGGCGCGAAAACUUUACAAUGCAGGAAACUGUGAUAAGGGAACCCCGAGUGCCCGUAAACGCGGGCUGUUUAGGUGUUUAAAAAGCACUUCGAGAAAGGGCCGGGCAAGACCGGUGCCAGCCGCCGCGGUAAUACCGGCGGCUCGAGUGGUGACCACUUUUAUUGGGCUUAAAGCGUUCGUAGCUGGAUUGUUAAGUCCCUUGGGAAAUCUAACGGCUUAACCGUUAGGCGUCUAAGAGAUACUGGCAAUCUAGGGACCGGAAGAGGUGAGAGGUACUCCAGGGGUAGGAGUGAAAUCCUGUAAUCCCUGGGGGACCACCUGUGGCGAAGGCGUCUCACCAGGACGGCUCCGACAGUGAGGGACGAAAGCUGGGGGAGCAAACCGGAUUAGAUACCCGGGUAGUCCCAGCCGUAAACGAUGCGCGUUAGGUGUAUCGGUGAC
This 454-nucleotide ribosomal RNA is filed under the name uncultured archaeon. RNAcentral describes it as "bacterial SSU rRNA". It matches the Rfam family "Archaeal small subunit ribosomal RNA", at positions 325 to 783 of the family's 1478-position model. The record is from RNAcentral.